Molecule: non-coding RNA, 1174 nt
Organism: Gasterosteus aculeatus aculeatus (three-spined stickleback)
Lineage: Eukaryota; Metazoa; Chordata; Actinopteri; Perciformes; Gasterosteidae
Source: RefSeq, a predicted model, not a curated record
AGCUACAGGGUGUCGCACCCACGUCCGCAGGGACCCACUAGAGGGCACCCACGUGACACCCUGUCAUGACUCUUAGCGAUGGCAAGUGGAGUCAAACACCUGUUACAGAAGCGCGAGAUGUUACCACAGACACACACAUAAUGACAGUUUGGGUUGUGGUACGCAUGGUGGCGUGUUGAUGUGCGCCUCGACACUGUGACCCGCUGUCUGCCUGUGUGUGGAAAAAGUGCGCCCAUUUUGACUUAAUCGUGCGCGACACUGUGGAAAAUAACAAUUCUAAUGAACUCAUCAAGCCAUUACGAAUGUGUUUGGUUUCAAUCGUGACAACUUGUGGGAGACGAGGUGUUUUACCUGGAUUGCAAGUGGCGAGGCGCGCGUUGGGCAAAUGAGGCAGCGACGUGCCGGGACGCAUUUCUGCAGCAGGGUGGACUUGUCCGACCACGACUACUGCUACGCAAACGUCUUGAAGAGCCCCGAACAUGAUAUCCGGGUGGUCUCACCGGGUGGUCUAAAUCUUGCACAGACAUGUUCUGGAAUACUGUAAAUCAGCUGAAGCCUUCCGAUGUUGGGAAGUCUGUGACGGGGGGGGUAUGUGUACAGAGGAUGUGAGUCACCCAAUCUCAAUGGACUGUACAUCUUUGGAGACUUCAUGAGUGGGUAAGAGCGCGUUGGAUCGAGUACUCCAACUGUUGUGGGAGCAGCUGUCGUGCCUUCUUUAUUUAUUUAUUGAAAAUCAUCCAAGACCCCGAGUUUAUUUAAGUGCGCAUCAUGGCGUUGGAGGAAGACACGUCCACAGGGGGGCUGGAAGGAGAGGAGUGUGUGUUUGGGCCAAAGGAAGACGUGCUCAUUCCCCGGACUCAUCAAUCGUCACCACAGGUUCAUCGUCUCCUCUGCUGAAGAUGAAGCAGGUACCGGCGAUUCUCACAGAGCGCAGAACUGUAUUUUCUGGCCACUGCCCACCCGAGCACCACGUCUCCUCAUGGAGCUGUUUUCAAAUUCAUGGAUCGGUCCAGAAGAGCUCCUCCAGGAAAAUGUAAGCAGAAGCCGCUGCCUGUCAAGAGUCGGGAGGAAAAAGGUUCCUUUUGUGGAGAAUGUAAGUCAUGUAGGAUAUUAGAAACAAAUAGACAAUCCGGUUCAUAAAAUUAAUAAAAAUGCAUAUAGUGUACACCAGAAU